GGAUGUGAUGGUGAUCUGGCUGCAACAUUGAUUGCCAGAGUUGAUUCAGCUGGUCUGGCUGGCUAGGCAGGUAUCUCCCUCCUCCCUUGCCACUCCAUGUGUGUCCACCCUGAAGUACUGCGCUAGGUCUAAAAGGAUGAAGACCUUCCCUGAUAAAGGAGGACCAUUCAUUAGUCCACGUAGCUGCACUCUCCCACUAGAACCUCCACACAAGCUCUCAAGAAUUGGCACAGCAACUGGACCAAUACAAUCACAUUGCUAUAAAAAUAAGCUUAAACAGAUUUUCAAGU
RNAcentral lists this small nuclear RNA (290 nucleotides) under Urocitellus parryii (Arctic ground squirrel). Its description in RNAcentral is "7SK RNA (ENSUPAG00010002025.1)". It matches the Rfam family "7SK RNA". Rfam says of the family: 7SK was discovered as an abundant small nuclear RNA in the mid-70s but a possible function has only recently been suggested. The record is from RNAcentral. Lineage: Eukaryota; Metazoa; Chordata; Mammalia; Rodentia; Sciuridae.